GAGAACAGAACGGGGACCUGAGCAGCUGCCGUCACCACCAUUUUCAAUGGUGCGAAGAUUAAUUUGUUGACAAGAAAACAGGGCAAGGAAGGAGUUGGAGACUUCAGAUGAAUUGGAAAACCAAUCAACAUCAAGGUGAAGAAAGGCGUGAAUGAGGAUGGUUUGUUGUGGACUGAAAUGGGUCUAAUUUGAUCUCAAAUGAUUUGAGAUGCAGUCAAUUGAAUGAAGGCUUGAGUAGUUGAAUUGACGGUGUAUGAACCUGAUUGCAGCAGCGGUUAUUCUUUAAGUAAUUACAUGGGUAUGGCAGGUCCGUUGCAGGAAGCGUUUUUGUACAGGAAAGAACAGCAACAAUGGCGGCUGUUGGUACUGAAUUUAAGGGAUUUCUGGUGGUUGUUUUUGAGAGAUUGAGAAUGGAUACUAGAUGAUGCUGCUACUGCAAUUAAUUGCUCGAAUGAAUGGCAUGAAGUUUUAUUAUUUUAGGGUCCUGGUAUGCUUGAGAAAUUCGUGGUCUUGUGAAUUCGAAAUUGCAGGUACAACUAAGAUAUAAGAGGAGCUUCAUACAACCAGCUGGAGGCUACCUCUUUACAUACUGAAGUUGCACUGCAGUUUCUCGCAGAAUUGCCUGAAAGAAGAAUUUACAAUGGGCCAGAAAUAGAAAGUGGUGAUGUGGUGCUCACUGGUUGCAUUCGAUGGAGGCCAUUAGCUGACGCAGUAGAUGAUGGAGGAGUUGUGUUAACUGAACUCGUUUCGUUGUGUAUGCGGUGUUGGUUCGAAUGAAGAUGGAUUUGGCCUGAAAUGAUCUUGAUGCGAUCGUGGUUAAUGGAAAUGGCUACAACAAUGUAGUUGUUUGGAGAGAUUUGUGGCUGUUAAUGCGAACGGAUAAGAAGGCUUGUUUACUGUGAUGGAGCUGCACUAUAGAGUCGUUGUUGCUUACUCGACUGUACGUACAACAAUGAUAUUUAGGAGUUCGAUUCAUUGAAGCAUAUGGACUGAAUAAGAAGAACUGAUGGGGGAAA
Molecule: long non-coding RNA, 1016 nt
Organism: Papaver somniferum (opium poppy)
Lineage: Eukaryota; Viridiplantae; Streptophyta; Magnoliopsida; Ranunculales; Papaveraceae
Exons: 2
Source: RefSeq, a predicted model, not a curated record